GAUGAACGCUGGCGGCGUGCCUAAUACAUGCAAGUCGAGCGAGCGGCGGACGGGUGAGUAAUGUCUGGGAAACUGCCUGAUGGAGGGGGAUAACUACUGGAAACGGUAGCUAAUACCGCAUACCAUCAGAUGUGCCCAGAUGGGAUUAGCUAGUAGGUGGGGUAACGGCUCACCUAGGCGACGAUCCCUAGCUGGUCUGAGAGGAUGACCAGCACAGCUGUAAGUGGAACACGGUCCAGACUCCGAGGGGAGGCAGCGGGGGGGAAUAUUGCACAAUGGGCGCAAUCCGGAUGCAGCCAUGCCGCGUGUAUGAAGAAGGCCUUCGGGUUGUAAAGUACUUUCAGCGGGGAGGCGUUACCCGCAGAGGAAGCACCGGCUAACUCCGUGCCAGCGGCCGCGGUAAUU
RNAcentral lists this ribosomal RNA (405 nucleotides) under uncultured bacterium. RNAcentral describes it as "partial 16S ribosomal RNA". It matches the Rfam family "Bacterial small subunit ribosomal RNA", at positions 28 to 525 of the family's 1533-position model. The record is from RNAcentral.